RNAcentral lists this ribosomal RNA (760 nucleotides) under uncultured Pseudomonas sp. Its description in RNAcentral is "bacterial SSU rRNA". It matches the Rfam family "Bacterial small subunit ribosomal RNA", at positions 8 to 763 of the family's 1533-position model. The record is from RNAcentral. Lineage: Bacteria; Pseudomonadati; Pseudomonadota; Gammaproteobacteria; Pseudomonadales; Pseudomonadaceae.
AGAGUUUGAUCCUGGCUCAGAUUGAACGCUGGCGGCAGGCCUAACACAUGCAAGUCGAGCGGUAGAGAGAAGCUUGCUUCUCUUGAGAGCGGCGGACGGGUGAGUAAUGCCUAGGAAUCUGCCUGGUAGUGGGGGAUAACGUUCGGAAACGGACGCUAAUACCGCAUACGUCCUACGGGAGAAAGCAGGGGACCUUCGGGCCUUGCGCUAUCAGAUGAGCCUAGGUCGGAUUAGCUAGUUGGUGGGGUAAUGGCUCACCAAGGCGACGAUCCGUAACUGGUCUGAGAGGAUGAUCAGUCACACUGGAACUGAGACACGGUCCAGACUCCUACGGGAGGCAGCAGUGGGGAAUAUUGGACAAUGGGCGAAAGCCUGAUCCAGCCAUGCCGCGUGUGUGAAGAAGGUCUUCGGAUUGUAAAGCACUUUAAGUUGGGAGGAAGGGUUGUAGAUUAAUACUCUGCAAUUUUGACGUUACCGACAGAAUAAGCACCGGCUAACUCUGUGCCAGCAGCCGCGGUAAUACAGAGGGUGCAAGCGUUAAUCGGAAUUACUGGGCGUAAAGCGCGCGUAGGUGGUUAGUUAAGUUGGAUGUGAAAUCCCCGGGCUCAACCUGGGAACUGCAUUCAAAACUGACUGACUAGAGUAUGGUAGAGGGUGGUGGAAUUUCCUGUGUAGCGGUGAAAUGCGUAGAUAUAGGAAGGAACACCAGUGGCGAAGGCGACCACCUGGACUGAUACUGACACUGAGGUGCGAAAGCGUG